Molecule: ribosomal RNA, 490 nt
Filed under: Bacteroidales bacterium 'ARUP UnID 176'
Lineage: Bacteria; Pseudomonadati; Bacteroidota; Bacteroidia; Bacteroidales
Description: bacterial SSU rRNA
Rfam family: Bacterial small subunit ribosomal RNA
Source: RNAcentral
GGAUGAACGCUAGCGACAGGCUUAACACAUGCAAGUCGAGGGGCAGCAUGGUCAGUAGCAAUACCGACUGAUGGCGACCGGCGCACGGGUGAGUAACGCGUAUGCAACCUGCCCUGUACAGGGGGAUAGCCCAUGGAAACGUGGAUUAAUAUCCCAUAGUAAUCAYGAUAGGCAUCUAUUUUGAUUUAAAUCUUCDGAGGUACAGGAUGGGCAUGCGUCCUAUUAGAUAGUUGGCGGGGUAACGGCCCACCAAGUCCUUGAUAGGUAGGGGUUCUGAGAGGAAGGUCCCCCACACUGGUACUGAGACACGGACCAGACUCCUACGGGAGGCAGCAGUGAGGAAUAUUGGUCAAUGGGCGAUAGCCUGAACCAGCCAAGUCGCGUGAGGGAAGACUGCCCUAUGGGUUGUAAACCUCUUUUGUAAGUGGAGAAUAAGCGUUACGUGUAGCGCGAUGACUGUAACUUACGAAUAAGCAUCGGCUAACUCCGU